Orenia sp. is the source of this 37-nucleotide non-coding RNA. Lineage: Bacteria; Bacillati; Bacillota; Clostridia; Halanaerobiales; Halobacteroidaceae. The record is from Rfam.
GUUAUAAUCUACAAUCCAAUAAAACAAGGAUUGAAAC